This is a long non-coding RNA of Nicotiana tabacum (common tobacco), 2100 nucleotides long. RefSeq lists it as uncharacterized. The record is from RefSeq and is a predicted model, not a curated record. Lineage: Eukaryota; Viridiplantae; Streptophyta; Magnoliopsida; Solanales; Solanaceae.
UUCCUUAAAAUAAAAGUUCUAAGAAAUCCCCCUCCCCCCAAAAAAAGAAAUCCCAUUCGGCCUUUCCCCAGCGAAAUCGAUGUCCUCUCUCCAAAAUUCCUCCAUACAUCGCUCUAUUAAAUUCAAUCGGCGAUUUGCCUUCUCCCUUCCCUCACGCCUCUCUUAUCUCCUCUCCUUCAUAAUUUCCGCACAAAUCUAACCUAAAUUUACCCGAGCCCUAGUAAAUCGACUCAAUGCGAGCAUUUUAAGAAAAAACCAUGAGUCUACUCUCUGCUUUAAGGCCUGCAAUCGUUGAUACAACGGGUCUAUUAGAUUCUGAGCCAAUGUGUUCGACUGACGAUUAUUGAGCAUCCUUUCUUUCAGCGGCUGAUGUAGAGCAAAUGGGUUUUGGUUUUUUUUCUACUCCUUUCUCCCUUUUGAUGUUAGCGUAAUUAUUUUGAUCGUUUCUUGCUCUUCAACGGUGAGGUUUUCUGAAAUUUUAGGGUUUACUUAGUUUGCUAUUGUGUAUGUGUGCUUUACUUUUUGGGGUUUGAAAAUUUAGGGCUUCUUUGUGCAAUGGGGGAUUUUGAAUUUACUUUACGUAUCCUAUGUUAAAUUCAAUUUACUGAGUGCAUCUCGUUUGGCAAUCCAUAUUGUUGACUUCUACUAGAAAGUAUUUCCUUGUGAACUAUGGCAAUUUAGUAAUUGUAUUAUUAUAGAUUCACCAUAUGUGAUCCCUAUUUACCAUGCUCUUAUCCUCAAGAGACGGUUCUAUUUUUAUGAUACUUGAUUUGUUUUAUUUUCUGAGCUGGAAUAUCAACAAAUGUAGCAGCAAAUGAUGUGUGAAUAAUGUGAUUCAGGCUCGAAGAGAAUCAAUGGUAUAUCUACAAUUGAAGCAGCAAAUCGAAAAAAUAUGAGAUAGUUGAUUUUUCUCAUACGGUUUGGGUGAAUUUACUCCAGGGGAGAUAUUAACUUGACGAUUAUUCUUGCAUAUAGCUACAAUGGAAACAAAAUCGACAGUUAAGAGAAGGAUUUCCGUACUAUCAUGCUAAAGCAACACACUUAAUUUUUGUCUAUUGGAUUCGAGAUACCCGUCACACACAACCUACUAAUGCUUCUCAGUGUGUUGGUAUUUGGUGCCCUUGUUCUGAACAACAAUGACAUGUCUAUAAAGUUUAAUUAAUGUUUCAUUUAAAUUAGAAAUAUGAUAGGUGAGAUUAGUUUGCCAUAACAUCCUAAGAGGAAUUGCCAUAACGUUUAAAGUCAUUAGCUUCUUGGUAUAAUCUUCCGUUAUUAUUUUAAGAAAUUAUGAUGAUCAUGUUUCCAAGUAAUGAAUUUAAUGAUUGUUUGGACUACUUGUUUGUCAGGAUGCAUAUAUGCUUAUGAAGAAAUAGUGAAUGCAAAAUUUUAAUUUGGAAGAAAUUACCUAAGACAUCAGUCAUUCACUGACAAAUGAAUUCUUUACCUUCCUUAUGGUUAGACAUUGUGCUGCAUUACAACUUUUUAUUUUUCCAUACUUGCAAUGCUAACUUUUGUGAGAUUGUUGCAUCAUGGGAAUCCAAAUUGUCAUUUUCUCAUUUUAAAUGUCAAAUGCAUAUUGCUGUACAGGGUUCAGAUAGAAGCAACAUAUGAGGAAUAUCAUCUCUGCUUAUAUGCUAAAUGUUUUAAUGCUACUGACCAUUAAACCAUGAAAUAUCCUCUGUUAUACAAAUGCAUUCAGUGCUAUGUCCCAAUUGCAAAUUAUAUGAGUAAGAGAAAUGUAGGUAUUAUCCUCAAGAAAGCAGUAUAGUUUAUAGUUUAAACAAUAGUGAAAAUGCAGUUGAAGUAAAUAACAUGCCACCUGAUGUUAUUACAUAUGUUGAGAAAGGUCAAAUGGGAACUAAAUAAGCAAUCCUCAUACCCUGUUAGUUAAAUAUAACAGUUCUAGAUGAGUUCCUUCAGAAAAUCUUCGGACUCCUCUUCUCAUUUUUAACUUAAAAUUUUGUAUGCACUGGGACUGUUACCAUUGGUAGCGUAACCUAUAUAGUCCUUCUGAUGUAAAAGGUUAUUCUCCUAAUCAGCUUACAUUACUAUUUAAAUGUCUUUUACUAUUUUUAUUAGAGUGAAAUUUUAUUGUGGUCA